RNAcentral lists this ribosomal RNA (433 nucleotides) under uncultured bacterium. Its description in RNAcentral is "partial 16S ribosomal RNA". It matches the Rfam family "Bacterial small subunit ribosomal RNA", at positions 29 to 507 of the family's 1533-position model. The record is from RNAcentral.
AGCGAACGCUGGCGGCAGGCCUAACACAUGCAAGUCGAACGAACUCUUCGGAGUUAGUGGCGGACGGUUGAGAAACACGUGGGAACGUGCCAUUUGGAUCGGAAUAACUCAAGGAAACUUGUGCUAAUACCGAAUGUGCCCUUCGGGGUAAAGAUUUAUCGCCAUUAGAGCGGCCCGCGUCUGGUUAGCUACUUGGUGAGGUAACGGGUCACCAAGGCGACGAUCAGUAGCUGGUCUGAGAGGAUGACCAGCCACACCGGGACUGAGACACGGCAAAGACUCCUACGGGAGGGAGCAGGGGGGAAUCUUGCGCAACGGGCGAAAGCUUGACGCCGCCAGGACGCGUGAAUGAAGGAGGUAUUAGGAUUGUAAAAUGCUUUAACCGGGGACGAUAAUGACGGUACCCUGAGAAGAAGCCCCGGCUAACUUCGUG